UCCCGAGCCGGUUCCGGACCACCUCGCAGCGCCGCGUCGUUAGGGGCGGGCUCGGGGAGCACCACCCUCGAGGGGCGGAACCCGUGGGGGCGGUGGCGUGGAUCCGGAGGUACCUGCUUCUUAAAUGCUGCAUUGAAAGGAUGAAACAGAACGGAUGUGAACAAGAGUUCCCUGAGAAAGGACAGCUCUUAGAGAGAUAGGAUAAUUACUGGACUCAAGAAGAUACCAAAUCAUGAACACUUGCUCUGGGGAAAACCAGCUGCCAUAUUGUGAGCAGACCUAUGAAAAGGCCCACUUGGUGAAGAACUGAGGCCUCUGGCUGAUGGACACGUGGGUGACCUUGCAAUCAAGUCUUCUGGCCUCAACCAAGCCUUCAGCUGAGACUGCAGCCUCAUGAAAGAUCCUGAGCUAGAAGCAUCCUGCCAUCCUAAUAAGCCACUCUUGAAUUUCUGACCCUUAAAAAUUGUGAGAUAAGCACCUGUGCUUUUUUUAAGUAUUAGAUUUAAAAAACCCUGUAAAAAUAAAGAAGAAAAAAGACAACUCAUAAUCUCACCACAUUAAAAAGAAUAGCUAUAGAAAAAUUCCAGUAGUAUAAAAAGGAAAAAUGGAAAUAACU
This is a long non-coding RNA of Gorilla gorilla gorilla (western lowland gorilla), 616 nucleotides long. RefSeq lists it as uncharacterized. Lineage: Eukaryota; Metazoa; Chordata; Mammalia; Primates; Hominidae. The record is from RefSeq and is a predicted model, not a curated record. The transcript is spliced from 3 exons.